GAUGGUAUUGUGGAAGCUCGAACGGCCGGGGGAGUUCAGAAAGACGCCGCACAGGAUCAGAAGCCGGAAGAGUCCUGGGAGGGUUGGCCUCUUACGAACUUCGGCUGGGGUUAUUUUAUACCCAACAAUAGCAAAUCUAUAUCUGGGUAUGUGUUCACUUUGUAUGGUGGUACAGUAAAUUAAAAAAGUUUCAAAUAGCAAACUACUGCUGACUUGGUCACUGAGAC
Molecule: long non-coding RNA, 227 nt
Filed under: Elaeis guineensis (African oil palm)
Lineage: Eukaryota; Viridiplantae; Streptophyta; Magnoliopsida; Arecales; Arecaceae
Description: long non-coding RNA (EGUI_LNC057438)
Source: RNAcentral